This 253-nucleotide ribosomal RNA is filed under the name uncultured bacterium. RNAcentral's name for it is "partial 16S ribosomal RNA". It matches the Rfam family "Bacterial small subunit ribosomal RNA", at positions 524 to 776 of the family's 1533-position model. The record is from RNAcentral.
UACGAAGGGGGCGAGCGUUGUUCGGAUUUACUGGGCGUAAAGGGCGCGCAGGCGGCUCAUUUUGUCAGGCGUGAAAGCCCCGGGCUUAACCUGGGAACUGCGUUUGAUACGGAUGGGCUAGAGUUCGGGAGAGGAGAGUGGAAUUCCUGGUGUAGCGGUGGAAUGCGCAGAUAUCAGGAGGAACACCUAUAGCGAAGGCAGCUUGCUGGGACGGUACUGACGCUAAGGCGCGAAAGCGUGGGGAGCGAACAGG